CGGAAGAGAAUGCUGGCAGGGAA
Molecule: non-coding RNA, 23 nt
Filed under: Mus musculus (house mouse)
Lineage: Eukaryota; Metazoa; Chordata; Mammalia; Rodentia; Muridae
Source: RNAcentral